AACAUACUUCCUCCGUUCGGAAAUACUUGUCAUCAGAAUGAGUAAAAGGGAAUGUAUCUAAUCGUUUAUUAAAUUAUAGAUACAUCCAUUUUUAUUCAUUUUGAUGACAAGUAUUUUUGAAGGGAGGGAGUAUCUA
Non-coding RNA from Triticum aestivum (bread wheat), 136 nucleotides. NCBI's taxonomy places the organism in Eukaryota, Viridiplantae, Streptophyta, Magnoliopsida, Poales, Poaceae. The record is from Rfam.